CCUACGGGGGGCAGCAGUGAGGAAUAUUGGUCAAUGGACGCGAGUCUGAACCAGCCAAGUAGCGUGAAGGAUGACGGCCCUAUGGGUUGUAAACUUCUUUUAUAUGGGAGUAAACUGUUCCACGUGUGGCUUUUUGUAUGUACCGUAUGAAUAAGGAUCGGCUAACUCCGUGCCAGCAGCCGCGGUAAUACGGAGGAUUCGAGCGUUAUCCGGAUUUAUUGGGUUUAAAGGGAGCGUAGGCGGAUUGUUAAGUCAGUUGUGAAAGUUUGGGGCUCAACCGUGAAAUUGCAUUUGAAACUGUCCGUCUUGAGUACAGUAGAGGUAGGCGGAAUGCGUGGUGUAGCGGUGAAAUGCUUAGAGAUCACGAAGAACUCCGAUUGCGAAGGCAGCUCACUGGACUACAACUGACGUUGAGGCGCGAAAGUGUGGGUAUCAAACAGGAUUAGAUACCCCGGUAGUC
RNAcentral lists this ribosomal RNA (460 nucleotides) under uncultured bacterium. RNAcentral describes it as "partial 16S ribosomal RNA". It matches the Rfam family "Bacterial small subunit ribosomal RNA", at positions 338 to 795 of the family's 1533-position model. The record is from RNAcentral.